This 253-nucleotide ribosomal RNA is filed under the name uncultured bacterium. Its description in RNAcentral is "partial 16S ribosomal RNA". It matches the Rfam family "Bacterial small subunit ribosomal RNA", at positions 524 to 776 of the family's 1533-position model. The record is from RNAcentral.
GACGUAGGGCGCGAGCGUUGUCCGGAUUUAUUGGGCGUAAAGGGCUCGUAGGCGGCUCAUUGCGUCAACCGUGAAAACCAGCAGCUCAACUGUUGGCUUGCGGUUGAUACGGGUGGGCUGGAGUUCGGUAGGGGAGACUGGAAUUCCUGGUGUAGCGGUGAAAUGCGCAGAUAUCAGGAGGAACACCGGUGGCGAAGGCGGGUCUCUGGGCCGAUACUGACGCUGAGGAGCGAAAGCCAGGGGAGCAAACGGG